UUGAUCCUGCCAGUAGUCAUAUGCUUGUCUCAAAGAUUAAGCCAUGCAUGUCUCAGUACAAGCCGCAUUAAGGUGAAACCGCGAAAGGCUCAUUAAAUCAGUUAUGGUUCCUUAGAUCGUACCCACAUUUACUUGGAUAACUGUGGUAAUUCUAGAGCUAAUACAUGCAAACAGAGUUCCGACCGGAGACGGGAGGAAUGCUUUUAUUAGAUCAAAACCAAUCGGCGGCGGUCGCGCUCGCGCCACCGUUCGCCGCUCAACCUGGUGACUCUGAAUAACUUUCGGCUGAUCGCACGGUCCAGCACCGGCGACGCAUCUUUCAAAUGUCUGCCUUAUCAACUGUCGAUGGUAGGUUCUGCGCCUACCAUGGUCGUAACGGGUAACGGGGAAUCAGGGUUCGAUUCCGGAGAGGGAGCCUGAGAAACGGCUACCACAUCCAAGGAAGGCAGCAGGCGCGCAAAUUACCCACUCCCGGCACGGGGAGGUAGUGACGAAAAAUAACGAUACGGGACUCAUCCGAGGCCCCGUAAUCGGAAUGAGUACACUUUAAAUCCUUUAACGAGGAUCAAUUGGAGGGCAAGUCUGGUGCCAGCAGCCGCGGUAAUUCCAGCUCCAAUAGCGUAUAUU
RNAcentral lists this ribosomal RNA (627 nucleotides) under Copelatus sp. MB0400. RNAcentral's name for it is "SSU rRNA". It matches the Rfam family "Eukaryotic small subunit ribosomal RNA", at positions 8 to 605 of the family's 1831-position model. The record is from RNAcentral. Lineage: Eukaryota; Metazoa; Arthropoda; Insecta; Coleoptera; Dytiscidae.